UGGGGAAUUUUUGGACAAUGGGCGAAAGCCUGAUCCAGCAAUGCCGCGUGUGUGAAGAAGGCCUUCGGGUUGUAAAGCACUUUUGUCCGGAAAGAAAUCCUUGGCUCUAAUACAGUCGGGGGAUGACGGUACCGGAAGAAUAAGCACCGGCUAACUACGUGCCAGCAGCCGCGGUAAUACGUAGGGUGCAAGCGUUAAUCGGAAUUACUGGGCGUAAAGCGUGCGCAGGCGGUUUGCUAAGACCGAUGUGAAAUCCCCGGGCUCAACCUGGGAACUGCAUUGGUGACUGGCAGGCUAGAGUAUGGCAGAGGGGGGUAGAAUUCCACGUGUAGCAGUGAAAUGCGUAGAGAUGUGGAGGAAUACCGAUGGCGAAGGCAGCCCCCUGGGCCAAUACUGACGCUCAUGCACGAAAGCGUGGGGAGCAAACAGGAUUAGAUACCCUGGUAGUCCACGCCCUAAAACGAUGUCAACUAGUUGUUGGGGAUUCAUUUCCUUAGUAACGUAGCUAACGCGUGAAGUUGACCGCCUGGGGAGUACGGUCGCAAGAUUAAAACUCAAAGGAAUUGACGGGGUCAUAGCUGUUUCCU
RNAcentral lists this ribosomal RNA (587 nucleotides) under uncultured bacterium. RNAcentral describes it as "partial 16S ribosomal RNA". It matches the Rfam family "Bacterial small subunit ribosomal RNA", at positions 355 to 1375 of the family's 1533-position model. The record is from RNAcentral.